RNAcentral lists this ribosomal RNA (253 nucleotides) under uncultured bacterium. Its description in RNAcentral is "partial 16S ribosomal RNA". It matches the Rfam family "Bacterial small subunit ribosomal RNA", at positions 524 to 776 of the family's 1533-position model. The record is from RNAcentral.
UACGAAGGGGGCUAGCGUUGUUCGGAUUUAUUGGGCGUAAAGAGCGUGUAGGCGGCCAGGUAGGUCUGCUGUGAAAACUCGAGGCUCAACCUCGAGAUGUCGGCGGAAACCAUCUGGCUAGAGUCCGGAAGAGGAGAAUGGAAUUCCCGGUGUAGCGGUGAAAUGCGCAGAUAUCGGGAAGAACACCCGUGGCGAAGGCGGUUCUCUGGGACGGUACUGACGCUGAGACGCGAAAGCGUGGGGAGCGAACAGG